RNAcentral lists this ribosomal RNA (566 nucleotides) under uncultured Glomeromycotina. RNAcentral describes it as "SSU rRNA". It matches the Rfam family "Eukaryotic small subunit ribosomal RNA", at positions 548 to 1114 of the family's 1831-position model. The record is from RNAcentral. Lineage: Eukaryota; Fungi; Glomeromycota.
UUGGAGGGCAAGUCUGGUGCCAGCAGCCGCGGUAAUUCCAGCUCCAAUAGCGUAUAUUAAAGUUGUUGCAGUUAAAAAGCUCGUAGUUGAAUUUCGGGAUCAAUGUUUCGGUCAUGCCGUUGGUAUGUACUGAUAUUAUUGGUUUCUCACCUUCUAAAGAACCGUAAUGCCGUUAAUUUGGUGUCACGGGGAAUUAGGACUGUUACCUUGAAAAAAUUAGAGUGUUUAAAGCAGGCUCACGCUUGAAUACAUUAGCAUGGAAUAAUGAAAUAGGACAUCCGAUUCUAUUUUGUUGGUUUCUAGGAUCGAUGUAAUGAUUAAUAGGGAUAGUUGGGGGCAUUAGUAUUCAAUUGUCAGAGGUGAAAUUCUUGGAUUUAUUGAAGACUAACUACUGCGAAAGCAUUUGCCAAGGAUGUUUUCAUUAAUCAAGAACGAAAGUUAGGGGAUCGAAGACGAUCAGAUACCGUCGUAGUCUUAACCAUGAACUAUGCCGACUAGGGAUCGGAUGAUGUUAAUUUUUUAAUGACUCAUUCGGCGCCUUACGGGAAACCAAAGUGUUUGGGUUC